GGGGCUGAUUCUGGAUUCGACGGGAUUUGCGAAACCCAAGGUGCAUGCCGAGGGGCGGUUGGCCUCGUAAAAAGCCGCAAAAAAUAGUCGCAAACGACGAAAACUACGCUUUAGCAGCUUAAUAACCUGCUUAGAGCCCUCUCUCCCUAGCCUCCGCUCUUAGGACGGGGAUCAAGAGAGGUCAAACCCAAAAGAGAUCGCGUGGAAGCCCUGCCUGGGGUUGAAGCGUUAAAACUUAAUCAGGCUAGUUUGUUAGUGGCGUGUCCGUCCGCAGCUGGCAAGCGAAUGUAAAGACUGACUAAGCAUGUAGUACCGAGGAUGUAGGGAUUUCGGACGCGGGUUCAACUCCCGCCAGCUCCACCA
This 363-nucleotide transfer-messenger RNA is filed under the name Escherichia coli. RNAcentral describes it as "Standard tmRNA". It matches the Rfam family "transfer-messenger RNA". Rfam says of the family: Bacterial tmRNA, also known as 10Sa RNA or SsrA, is named for its dual tRNA and mRNA-like properties. Its role is to liberate the mRNA from a stalled ribosome. Lineage: Bacteria; Pseudomonadati; Pseudomonadota; Gammaproteobacteria; Enterobacterales; Enterobacteriaceae. RNAcentral also lists the same sequence under 1 other name. The record is from RNAcentral.